This 494-nucleotide ribosomal RNA is filed under the name uncultured bacterium. RNAcentral describes it as "partial 16S ribosomal RNA". It matches the Rfam family "Bacterial small subunit ribosomal RNA", at positions 28 to 507 of the family's 1533-position model. The record is from RNAcentral.
GACGAACGCUGGCGGCGUGCUUAACACAUGCAAGUCGAACGGUGAAGCGCCUUCCUUUUUGGUGGGUGUGGAUGAGUGGCGAACGGGUGAGUAACACGUGAGUAACCUGCCCCCUUCUUCUGGAUAACCGCAUGAAAGUGUGGCUAAUACGGGAUAUUCUGGGUCUGUCGCAUGAUGGGUCUGGGAAAGAUAUUGUUUCGGUGGGGGAUGGGCUCGCGGCCUAUCAGCUUGUUGGUGGGGUGAUGGCCUACCAAGGCGGUGACGGGUAGCCGGCCUGAGAGGGUGGACGGUCACACUGGGACUGAGACACGGCCCAGACUCCUACGGGAGGCAGCAGUGGGGAAUAGUGCACAAUGGGCGCAAGCCUGAUGCAGCGACGCCGCGGGAGGGAUGGAGGCCUUCGGGUUGUGAACCUCUUUCGCCAGUGAAGCAGGCCUGCCUCGUUUGUGGGUGGGUUGACGGUAGCUGGAUAAGAAGCGCCGGCUAACUACGUG